UCGUGUUAUGACUAGGGUUUGGAUCCAUGUGACCGCCAGAGAGAGAGGUGUUAAUGGCAGGGGUGAGUUCUAGUGAGAGAGAAAGAGAGAGAGAGAGAGAGAGAGAGAGAGAGAGAGGUGUUAAUGGCAGGGGUGAGUUCUAGUGUUUCUACUCUUUGGUUUGAAGGUUUUAUGAUUUGAGCACCCAGUGGCUUUGCUUUUUAUUAUGCGAUGGCGCGGUACCACCGGAUCAAUCGAAGACCGCUACCAAACAAAACUUCUGUCUCUGCGCAUAUGUGUGUGUGUGUGUGUGUGUGUGUGUGAGAGAGAGAGAGAGAGAGAGAGAGAGAGAGAGAGAGAGAGAGAGAGAGAGAUUAUGGUAGUGAAAGAGAAAUUAUUG
RNAcentral lists this long non-coding RNA (379 nucleotides) under Eucalyptus grandis. RNAcentral's name for it is "long non-coding RNA (EGRA_LNC001044)". Lineage: Eukaryota; Viridiplantae; Streptophyta; Magnoliopsida; Myrtales; Myrtaceae. The record is from RNAcentral.